Molecule: ribosomal RNA, 253 nt
Filed under: uncultured bacterium
Lineage: Bacteria
Description: partial 16S ribosomal RNA
Rfam family: Bacterial small subunit ribosomal RNA
Source: RNAcentral
UACGGAGGGGGCAAGCGUUGUUCGGAAUCAUUGGGCGUAAAGGGCGCGUAGGCGGCCGUCCAAGUCGGGUGUGAAAUCCCUCGGCUCAACCGAGGAACUGCACUCGAUACUGGUCGGCUAGAGUCCGGGAGGGGAUGGUGGAAUUCCCAGUGUGGCGGUGAAAUGCGUAGAUAUUGGGAAGAACACCGGUGGCGAAGGCGGGUCUCUGGGCAGUAACUGACGCUGAGGAGCGAAAGCGUGGGGAGCGAACAGG